Long non-coding RNA from Ruditapes philippinarum (Manila clam), 2677 nucleotides. RefSeq lists it as uncharacterized. NCBI's taxonomy places the organism in Eukaryota, Metazoa, Mollusca, Bivalvia, Venerida, Veneridae. The transcript is spliced from 4 exons. The record is from RefSeq and is a predicted model, not a curated record.
UGUACAGUGCUGAUCCCAUUUUAACAUCCCAGGGACGCAACUAUCACUUUCAGUUUAAUCUCUGUAUAAUUUCCACGAAGAAACUAUGACCUUUCAAUGAAGUUGCUACAGUAUCUUGGUGAAAGACAAGUGUUAAUAAUGUGAAAUCAACAUGGCAACAUUUGUUAACCUACAGUACAGUGCUGUAAUGGGAAUGCAAAUGAAACUGCAGCACUGUUGUUUGGUAAAGCAUGUACAUGUAUGCGAAAUGAGCAUCUUUAGAUCCAAUUUGGUGAAUCACAUGAAAAGAGGAUUGUAAAGAAAGCACAUGUAACUUGUGCAGACAGUUGAGUUUGAAAUAUAGACAGUUUUAGAGUUCACUUACCCCUCUUUCUAUGAAAUUUGAUUAAAGCACUAGACCUCCCUUUUUGGUUAUGUGUUGUUAUGUGCUUUACACAAAUUAGGGUGGAACAUGUGAAAUGCAAUCAAUUAUGAUAUAAGGCAGCGUGAAUAGUUAGUACUUGGUGCAUCUGCUGAUUAAUGUGUUUGUAACAGAGGACAUUAACAAUGAUGAGGCUGUAUAUCACCAGGACUACUGCUUAAUUAUGGACGGUUUACAGCUAAACAAUCCUAUGGUUGGAAUCAAUAUCCAGGGACAGCUCUCCUUUUAAGGGGCCAAGUGUUGUGACCUUGUUAUAUGGCCAAAAAGGACAUAAAAGUUCUAAAGAUAGCUAAGAACAAAGUUAUAUAGACUAUUAAACAUUUCAUCAAUUUAUAUUGAAUAAAGUACAUUAUGUAUAAUUUAAUAACUUUGUUACUACAUGCACAUGAAUAAAAAUAACACUUAAGUGUGGUCACAAAGGGACAGUCAGUGAUCUACAAUUAUUACCCUGAAUGCAUGUAAGAAGCUUGAUGUGAAUGCUUUUUUUAUUAAUGAUUAAUGAAAACAUAAAUAUUAUCAAACGUUAAGGUCUUUAAGUUGUUUCUGAAUGUAUACCUUGGAUGGUACAUGUUUGUACUGACUGUAUAUUCACUUUUCUUAAGUGUCAAAACUAUAGCUAUUUAUGUAUGUCAAAAUCAAAUAUUUAUAUUUCUUGAAGUGAUAACUUGACUCAUUCUCUUGAAUAUUAUUAUGAAAUGUUUGAUUCAUGUUCAAAACUUGAAAGGAAUACACAGCAAAAUGAUCUUCUUCUCUGUAUUCAAUUUGAUUAAAGUGACUUUACAAAAACAAAGAUUUUUGUGUUACAAUUCAUCUGAAAGUAAAAUGACAUGAGAUAAAUCAAUCAAUGUAACAUAUGUGUUUAUAUUGAUAUUUAUUGAUUUAUUGUUACUUGAAUGCAUUAAAAAUUGUUGGGAUGAAUAUUAAAAACACAAAGAAAAUAACACAAAAGGGACAAUAAUGAAAAUAAACAAUCUUAAUGUAAAGCUGUGAAACUUUCUACAGAAUUCCCUGAAAGUGACAUUUUAUAUUUAAUGUGCUAAAUUUAUUGUACCCUGUGUCUGUUAAAACAUAUUGUUAGCUCACCUGUCACAAAGUGACAGGGUGAGCUUUUGUGGUCGGUUUUCGUCCGGCGUCCGUACGUCGUCUGUCCGUAAACUUUUACUUUAAUGACAUCUCCUCAUAAACCGCUCAACCAAUUUCAUCCAAACUUCACAGGAAUGUUCCUUUGGUGGUCACCUUUAAAAAUUGUUCAAAGAAUUUAAUUCCAUGCAGAACUCUGGUUGCCAUGGUAACCGAAAGAAAAAACUUCAAAUAUCUUCUUUUAAAAACCCCAAAGAGCUAGAGCUUAAAUAUUUGGCAUGAAACAUCUUCAAGUGAGUGUCUACCAAGUUUGUUCAAAUAAACGCCCUGGGGUCAUUGAUUUUCCCUAUAUGCAUAUGGUAAAAACUUAAAAAAAUCUUCUUUUAAAGAACUCAAAGAGCUAGAGCUAAGAUAUUUAGCAUGAAACAUGUUCUAAUGGGUGUCUACCAAGUUUGUUCAAAUAAAAGCCCUGGGGUCAAAAUUGGCCCCGCCCCGGGGGUCAUUUAUUUUCCUUAUAUGUGUAUAGCAAAAACUUAAAAAUCUUCUUUGAUAAAACCCAAAUAGCUACAGUUUAGAUAUUAAGCACGAAGCAUCUUCUAGUAAGUGUCAACAAAGUUUGUUCAAAUAAAAGCCCUUGGGUCAAAACUGGCCCCGCCCGAGGGGGAUAUUUUUUUAACUAUAUGUGUAUAGUUAAAACUUAAAAAAUCUUCUUUAAAAAAAAACAAUGAGCUAGAGCUUAGAUGUUAAGCAUGAAACAUUUUCUUAUAGGUGUCUACCAAGUUUGUACAAAUUAAAGCCCUUGGGUUAAAAUUGGCCCUGCCGGGGUUUUUCAUUAUAUGUGUGUAGUAAAAACUUAACAUCAUGAAACAUCUUCUAAUGGGUGUCUUCCAAGUUUGUUCAAAUAAAAGCCUUGGGAUUUAAACUGGCCUCGCUCCGGGGGGGCCUAUAUACAGGUGAGCGACCUCAGGGCCAUCAUGGCCCUCUUGUUUUUAUACUGUUAUCUAGUUUUAAGAUUGUUUCUAGCAGAUAUGUACAUCAUUUCUAAACAGGUAUUAUUAAAAAUUGAUGUGAAUUAGAAAAGGUUGUAACAUGUUAUUUCAAUGUCAUAAUUUUCUGUGCAAUAUGUAUUCAUUGUCAUACUGGAAUAAUAAUAAAAGAGUUUGUAACAUUCUAACA